Ailuropoda melanoleuca (giant panda) is the source of this 46-nucleotide non-coding RNA. The record is from Rfam. Lineage: Eukaryota; Metazoa; Chordata; Mammalia; Carnivora; Ursidae.
AUAAAGGUCCUUUUCAGGGCCACACACCCAUUCAUUUGAAGGGGCU